This 57-nucleotide ribosomal RNA is filed under the name Rhizopogon sp. SNF32. Its description in RNAcentral is "partial 5.8S ribosomal RNA". It matches the Rfam family "5.8S ribosomal RNA", at positions 99 to 154 of the family's 154-position model. Rfam says of the family: 5.8S ribosomal RNA (5.8S rRNA) is a component of the large subunit of the eukaryotic ribosome. It is transcribed by RNA polymerase I as part of the 45S precursor that also contains 18S and 28S rRNA. Lineage: Eukaryota; Fungi; Basidiomycota; Agaricomycetes; Boletales; Rhizopogonaceae. The record is from RNAcentral.
UUUGAACGCACCUUGCGCUCCUCGGUGUUCCGAGGAGCAUGCCUGUUUGAGUGUCAG